GGCCAACUUGAAUCCAGGACUAUGACCUCCAAAGCCCACCAACUUGAACAUUAUAUAUACUCUAAUGUUAAUAGUUCCCAUUUCUUUUGUUUCUAAUGAUACCAGGUAAAUAGGCACAUGAAGAAUAGUUCUCAGUUGUCUUUACAUCUUCUUACCAUUUUCUCAAUUGCAGUUUUUUUCCUCAAUCAUUACUUAGUUUUAAAAGAUGAAUGAAACUCUUCCUAGAAGAAAACAAAAUAUAAUGGUUCUUCGCUAAUUCUCAGAGGGAAGAAUCUUAAAGAAACAUUCUCUCCGCCCAAUUCCAGAGUGUUGCCAAUAUCUCCUACACAUAAACUGAAAUGAGUAGUUAAUAUUUCAUUGCAGCAUAUCAUAGCUAAACUUUGUUACAUUCAAGAAGUGAAACUAGGAUAUUACCCUGGUGGUCCAGUGGUUUAAGAUUCUGCACUUCGCGGGCAGGGGGCACGGCUUCGAUCCUUGGUUGGGGAACUAAGAUCCUGCAUGUUGCAUGGCAUGGCCAAAAAAAAAGUGAAACUAAUUUAAUUUCUACUUACAGGAAUAUGAAAGUCAGAUAGAAAAGGAUAUGUCCAUUUCAGAUGUGAAUUCUAUUACUGCACAAAGGAUUAAUUCUGCCAAUUUUCUGAAAAAGGUCCUUGGAUAUGCCUACUUAUUUGAUAUCAUCCAUGUCUCGCCUCAGACAUAAAGAAACAAUCAAAUCAUUAGCCUCAGAUGAACUCUUAAAUGAGAUAAGUAUUUAACACUUCUCUAAAGCGCAGUUUUGAUCAUGUUUUCCCUGAAUUGCAACUGGCCCCUAACUGGGGCUACUCUCUUGGGCUUCUAGU
Molecule: long non-coding RNA, 839 nt
Filed under: Bos grunniens (domestic yak)
Lineage: Eukaryota; Metazoa; Chordata; Mammalia; Artiodactyla; Bovidae
Description: lncRNA (ENSBGRG00000025778.1)
Source: RNAcentral